AGACCCGAAACCCGGUGAUCUAGCCAUGGGCAGGUUGAAGGUUGGGUAACACUAACUGGAGGACCGAACCGACUAAUGUUGAAAAAUUAGCGGAUGACCUGUGGCUGGGGGUGAAAGGCCAAUCAAACCGGGAGAUAGCUGGUUCUCCCCGAAAGCUAUUUAGGUAGCGCCUCGUGAAUUCAUCUCCGGGGGUAGAGCACUGUUUCGGCUAGGGGGCCAUCCCGGCUUACCAACCCGAUGCAAACUGCGAAUACCGGAGAAUGUUAUCACGGGAGACACACGGCGGGUGCUAACGUCCGUCGUGAAGAGGGAAACAACCCAGACCGCCAGCUAAGGUCCCAAAGUCAUGGUUAAGUGGGAAACGAUGUGGGAAGGCCCAGACAGCCAGGAUGUUGGCUUAGAAGCAGCCAUCAUUUAAAGAAAGCGUAAUAGCUCACUGGUCGAGUCGGCCUGCGCGGAAGAUGUAACGGGGCUAAACCAUGCACCGAAGCUGCGGCAGCGAACGUAUCACUUAAAGCGAUUCAGCGGGUUACGAUUGACGGAGCGAAGCGACGUCAAAGCGUAUACAAAGUCGAGUCGGUUUAAGGAUACGUUCGUUGGGUAGGGGAGCGUUCUGUAAGCCUGCGAAGGUGGCCUGUGAGGGUUGCUGGAGGUAUCAGAAGUGCGAAUGCUGACAUAAGUAACGAUAAAGCGGGUGAAAAGCCCGCUCGCCGGAAGACCAAGGGUUCCUGUCCAACGUUAAUCGGGGCAGGGUGAGUCGACCCCUAAGGCGAGGCCGAAAGGCGUAGUCGAUGGGAAACGGGUUAAUAUUCCCGUACUUGGUGUUACUGCGAAGGGGGGACGGAGAAGGCUAUGUUGGCCGGGCGACGGUUGUCCCGGUUUAAGCGUGUAGGCUGGUUUUCCAGGCAAAUCCGGAAAAUCAAGGCUGAGGCGUGACGACGAGGCACUACGGUGCUGAAGCAACAAAUGCCCUGCUUCCAGGAAAAGCCUCUAAGCAUCAGGUAACAC
RNAcentral lists this ribosomal RNA (1008 nucleotides) under Salmonella enterica subsp. enterica serovar Thompson. Its description in RNAcentral is "partial 23S ribosomal RNA". It matches the Rfam family "Bacterial large subunit ribosomal RNA", at positions 711 to 1637 of the family's 2925-position model. The record is from RNAcentral. RNAcentral also lists the same sequence under 1 other name. Lineage: Bacteria; Pseudomonadati; Pseudomonadota; Gammaproteobacteria; Enterobacterales; Enterobacteriaceae.